RNAcentral lists this ribosomal RNA (428 nucleotides) under uncultured bacterium. RNAcentral's name for it is "bacterial SSU rRNA". It matches the Rfam family "Bacterial small subunit ribosomal RNA", at positions 29 to 507 of the family's 1533-position model. The record is from RNAcentral.
AACGAACGCUGGCGGCAGGCUUAACACAUGCAAGUCGAGCGCCCCGCAAGGGGAGCGGCAGACGGGUGAGUAACGCGUGGGAACAUACCCUUUAGUACGGAAUAGCCUCGGGAAACUGGGAUUAAUACCGUAUACGCCUACGGGGAAAGAUUAUCGCUAAAGGAUUGGCCCGCGUUGGAUUAGCUAGUUGGUGAGGUAAUGGCUCACCAAGGCGACGAUCUAUAGCUGGUCUGAGAGGAUGAUCAGCCACACUGGGACUGAGACACGGCCCAGACUCCUACGGGAGGCAGCAGUGGGGAAUAUUGGACAAUGGGCGAAAGCCUGAUCCAGCCAUGCCGCGUGAGUGAUGAAGGCCCUAGGGUUGUAAAGCUCUUUCGCUAGAGAAGAUAAUGACGGUAUCUAGUAAAGAAGCCCCGGCUAACUUCGUG